This is a non-coding RNA of Phasianus colchicus (ring-necked pheasant), 4993 nucleotides long. The record is from RefSeq and is a predicted model, not a curated record. Lineage: Eukaryota; Metazoa; Chordata; Aves; Galliformes; Phasianidae.
GUUCGCGCUGGCUUCUGCUCGUGUUUGACGCGGGUGUCGGAUCCUGGCGCUCCAAUAAGCACGGAACGUCGGGUGGUUUCCACUUCCAUCCGACAGCUUCCAGUGGAGCCAGUAUUUAGACAAAACCUGUCCAGGUUUGGCUGUCGCGUUCUUGGACACCCAGCCUUCAGCACAUCCAGGGGCCUUCUUAAUCUUUCAUUUCUUAAUCUUAAUAUUUCUUAAUCUUAAAUAUUUAUUCAUAGAAUCAUAGAAUCAAAGGAUGGUUGGGCGGAAGGGCGCUUAAAGACAGCCAGCCCCAACCCCCACUGUGGGCUGCUUGCCCCUGCCGGGUCAGCCUGCCUAGCGCCCCAUCUUCUGCUCAUCCUGAAACUUUAAAUGGCUUUUGACUAUUCAAGUAGUUUAUUUGGAAACAGAAGUAGAUUUUUGCUGUGUUUUUUUGUUCUCUUAGUGAAGGAUCUUAGAUACAGAACAAAGUGAGCCAGGACAGAACGUUCCUAGCGGCUCACGCUGUGCUGUUAGCACUCUCCAUUUAUAGCACGUGAGUGACGCAAUCUGAAUUUGCCCUUGAACUGGAAUCAUUGUGAAGCAUUGCACAUUACAAGUUGCAAUACUUGAAAACAUUCAGUCGUGCUGCUCGUGGCUCAGCUGUGCAGCACUAGGCACACAAGUGGAAAUAAUGCCCUGGGUGAUCAUGGCACCCUGCGGUCCCACAGCAAGGAGUGAGGAGCUGGCAGGCUGCUGCCAGGCCUUCUAGCUGACACACCUCUUGCUCCUGGCAGAGCAUAGGAGCCCUGAUGGGCGGAGGAGCUGGCACCACUCACUGCUGGCUGUGUGCCCUCCACAGCUGUGAGGAGCAGGGUUUCCCCUUUCUUGUGAACCUACAAGCUCCAGCCCAAAAGGGGGGGAAAGAUCGUGACUUGGGAUCACUUUUUAGAAUUAUCAAGCACAGCUCUUAACUGAGCACAGCACUUAUUCCUCUCUUGUUCUUUUCUACUGUUACCUUGGAUACCACCUCCUACUGAAUGUUAAGGAUCAGCAGGAAUAUAGAACAUGAACAGUGUUAUUGCUGGAAAGUCAUUUGCAGACUCGUAAAGAAGCACCACUUCAGCACUCCUCCAAAGCUUUACAACUAUUUACUUAUUCCAGUUUGGAUUGCUUUUCCUGUUUGCUAUUGACAUCUGGGAUUUAAGGCUCAGCACAGAAUUGUCCUUUGCUCUGCCCUGGCUCACCAGAUGUCUGGCUUUCUGCAUGUGGUGUGCAAUCCCAGGUCCUACCAAUAGAUGACUAAACAAAAUGAAAUCAGGGUGUUGCUUUGAGAGACUGGCAGCUUUUCUGUGCCUGAUCUAAAACUGGAGUAGCUAUUCAAUAAAGAAGGAAUGCUAGUGCCCAUGACUCCCAGAGUCUGUGCUGUUGAUCUGAAAUGGCUCAUGUGUUGAACUUCAGAGAUGGGCUCUAGUGGUCGCUUGUAAAACAGAGCAGUGAAGUGAGGUAGUCUGUGGCAAGCAUCCUUAUGGACUUUAGAGCAUUCUGAUAGUAUAUGUCCAUAGGUGAGCCUGCCAUCAGGAUUGGUAGGAACAGUUUCUUGCUAGCCCAUACUUCACUUUUUGUAAAUCCCAAGAUAAAGACUUAACUAGCACUUGCAUGGAAUAAGAGUGUGCUUUUUGACAGUAGUUACUAUUUGCCCUCACUAUUCAUGUUUUUAAGUAGACCUGUGCAGAUACCAGUAUGUUACCAGUCAUUAUUGUGCCUAAUAGUAAAUUUUAUUUCCUACUGAUACUGUUUCAUCUUUGCUUAGUUGUUGUUAAUACAAACAAAGCCUGGUGUUAUGGGAAGGCUACCGCUUCAUCUUAAGAGCAAAUAGGAAGAAAGGAUAUAACAGGCAUGGAGCAUUAUAAAUCCAUGCCUCUCCUGUGAGACAAAACCUGAGACAGUAUUAAAGUUAGAAUAUGUCCUUAAUAAAUAAAUAAAUACACAAUUUAAAAAAAUUACUGAAUUCAAAUGCAAAAUUAGGUCUUAUAUCAUAUCAACAGAUUUAAUUAAUUUCCGCUCCCAUCUGCUUACAGAAUUUGAUCUAAAGCACUUCUAUGAGCCCUCAUGUCGACCCAUCAUAGAUGAGACUAUGGGUCUACAGGAAGAUGGAACGCUUUUGUGCACUGGAUGAAAGCUUCAGCACUGUGUAAUCUUUGUUAAUUAGAAAGUGUUUCUGUGUGAUCUUUGCCAACUGUGCCAUUAACAUUCUGUAUGAGCCCAUUGAUGUAACUUGGAAUCUGGGGUGCAGAGUUGUUGCUGUGAUUCUGCCUUUGUAGACUGUGUGCUGUUAAUAUCUUCUGCUAUUUGUGAUUGUCUUAAAACUCAGAUCAAUUUAGUGUGUUAUCUAGAUGCUAAUCCCUGGAGACAGUGUGGUAGGGAUAAGAAGCUGGAUGAAUAAAGGGGAACAGUGCUGAGAAAAACCAGAACUGAGUCUGCCACUGAGAUACAGGUAAUUUAUGGAGGACUGCUCUUCUUUUUGUUGAAGAUGUGUGUUUUGCCAGUUCAGUUGCAAUUAUGAACUCUUUUUCUAAGUUAUCAGAGGUAUGCUGUAUAACUUAGAUCUCCUUCAGUGAGACAGUUCAGAACGAUGGCUGAGUCCUUGUUAUAUUUCUUAGUCAUGGUUUUAUGUCUGUUUCUUGUCUGUAAAGUGGGGGCUGAUGGGAGCAGCCAUAAAUUUGAUCUUGUCUUAAUGGGAAAAAUACAGAAAAAGUCUGAAAAAAACACUGUCAGAAGAUGUCUGGUAACAGGGGAGCCUGGCUGAGGAAUCAGAAGUAUCCUUGAGAUGUGCAAUGUGCAACUGGUAUCUUUGAAAUGCAGCAGGAUACCUAAAAAUUCCAGGUAGUGAUGUCCUAUGAAACCUGUAAUAUAGAAAGGACUUGCUUUCUACCCAGAAUGAGACCUCUCUCUGGGGCCUCCCUGUGCAGAGAAUUUUUAGAUAUCUCCAAGACAAGACAGGACCCUUGUCAGGCAUGCAUGGCUGACUCCCAGCUUAGUGACACAGGUCACCUUUGGAAUUACUGUACUAGUACUCCCUUGACAUAAAGGCACAUAUCUAGGUAGUCAUAUUUGUUGUUUUACUGGUGGUAAUUUUCAGUAUAACACAGAAACAUAUAUGGAUUGCUACUGUGCAAAUACAUUUGCCUUUUAGGAGUACCUCGCAGUAACUUAUUAUAGGCUUUCUGUUUAACUGUAAGCGUAUUUGCUUUACUUAUAGUAAUUUGUAGUAAGCUGUAACAAAAGAAUUCAAGAAUAAGAUCUCUGCAUCAUUAUGUAUUACAGACUGCUGUUAGCUCAUCAUGCAGCCUUAUGGAAACAUGAAGGAGCUUUCCUUGCUGUUGCUUUUCAAGAACAAAAUAAAUGCCUCUGAGGUGUUACGGUAGUUGAGGUACCAAGUAACAAUGCUCAUUCAUGGGCAAAUAAACCCCACAAAAUGUACUGAAGCUAGAUGUACAUGCUAACGGCUAGGCUAGCUUCGACAGAAAUGUUUUGUCAUUUUCAGAAAUGAACGUUCAACCUCAGGUCCAAAUUCUCUACUGAUAAAAGCAUGGCUCUGCUGAAAUCAUCACAACUCCACCUCCUUAUCUCAGCAGUAAAUUAAUCCCGUUUCUGCCUUUCCACUUAAUUUCUUCAGCACAAGCAAACUAAAGAUACUAUUAGCGUUUGAAGGAAAAAAGCUGUUUAGUUUUUGUAACAGCAGAGUACUCAGAGAGCAAAGAGAGAAGUUUCUCUUAGCUUUGUCCAAGGGCUGGUGGGAGCGCUACUGUUACACUGUGACGUGUCAUGCUGUGCUCACUGAGCUGCGUCUGAGCAGGAUUAAAGACCUACAGUGAUACCAUUGAAAUAUAUUCAAGGUGAAGUGGCUCGUAAUUCAAAAGCCAACUGUGAGAAGAGCUGGACACACGAUAGCGAAAUAUUGAUGGAAACAAAGAUGAAGAAUGUCUCAUUAGUUUUUGGCUCUCCUAUGCCGACAGGCGACAGAGCUUGCCCGAUUCUGCCUCCACCCAACGGGAACGCUCACUGCAAGGAGGUCAGCACAUCCACGUCCAUUCUGCAGCCUACCGCGUUUAAAAUCAGCCCUUGCUUGGAUGCAGCCCUGACUGAACACCACAAUGGGAGAGACGGUGAAACCCUGCUAAACAGAAGUCCUCCGUCGUGGAUCCGUGGAGCCCGACAGCCUCGGUUUUCUACCCGUGUUGGGCGCUGCGUGCCCGGCUCCGCUCUCCUCUUCCCCGCGCGCCGCAGCGUUCAGUCGCUCUUGCGCGAUGUGAGAGCGCCGCGGCCCGGAAGCGGAAGGAAAGGCGGUGGCGGCGCGCAGGGCAGGGCGCCACGGAGCUCCGCGCCGCGCCACGCGGGAUGCUGGGAGCGGUGGGCCUGGGGCAGGCGCAGUGCCCGUCGGCCAUGUUGGGCGGCAUGGCGCGCAGGGGAGUGUCAUUGUUCAGGGCAAGGCAUGUGCUCUUUGGGAUAUCUUUGAGUGAAGUCAGAUUCUCUAAGCUGUGGAUGUCGUUGCUGCAGGAGCCUGCAGAAAUUUCAUCGUCUCUUCUGCUCGCUUUGCUCAACUUAAAUGGUGAAAACUUUUGAAAUCAGUUCUGCAGGAAUUAAGGCUUAUGGCAAAAUAAACCAUGGGACAUAGGUUUGCAUGGUACAAGUUCCACACACUAACCUAAAAAACUUGCCUGUUCCUGGGAAUGGGCUGGAAGAUCAUCUGUAUUGGCUUUCCCUUAGUUCUGAAGCCCUGUCUACAGGUGAGUGAGCCUCUCACUGAAGACUUUAUUUUAACUUGAAUGUGAUGCUUGUUGUUGUAAUAAGGGCAGGUAACAUCCACUUCUUACAACUGUGUGGUGCAAGGAGCGUGUUCCAAAUCACUGUGCUUAGUUCAAUUUCAGAUACAGUUGGAAGGUUAUGCUGGCAACAUUACUAAAAUUACAAAGAUGGCUCUAAUGAGGUUAUGAUAAUAUGUGGCUAA